ACGGUUGACGCUCUUUGGUUAAGCGUUUGUUACUGGCCAAUUUUGAUCGAGCAUCCGCUUCCGCCCUGCAUCAGCAACAAACAGCGCAAACAGAAAACAAACCACGCGCGCCACUCUCUAAAAUAAAAGCUCUCAUUUUUGAGUAGCGCUCAUGCCGCACAGGGACUGUGUUGGAAACACGCAUUUUUUUAAAUUGCUCGUACGCUCACAUUUUAGCAAAUUAUCAAUAUUUUUCGGUAUUUGAAGGUGGUUUAUAAACCCAGUGAGGUUGCCAUGUCGAAAUUAUUGCAAAAUACAUGCUCAUGUGAGCGUGCGAGCAAUUUUAAAAAAAUGUGUGUUUCCAACACAGUCAUGUGCGGCAUGGAUGUUUACUAAAAAUGUGCAGGCCGAACACAUUUUUGAGCGUAGCCGGUUUCCUUCAUUUCCUUGUGUGAAGCCGAGCGAGCGAGCAACAGUGAAGUUUUUGCAAUCGUUCCGUGAUAUUGACCAGUAGUGUGGUUGGCGAUUAAAAUGGACAAAAAUCCCAAAGCACAAGUUAUUGCGAAAUUCUGGGAUCGGAUGGAAGAGACAAUUGGCUAUGUACCUGUGAAUGUGAUGCGCGUCGUCAAUUUCCUUGGACUCUCGGCUACCAGUUUGCUCGGCGACAUCACCUCUUAUGAUGUUGCACGCCUGGAAGCCUCGUUAUGCUGGAAUAGAGACGAGCUCUGGACGCACAGCGCUAAAAUUAAUUACUACAGAGAUGAUUGUUUUGGUAUGGGUGAGGAUUUCCGUUCGUUUGAAUUUUCGUUUGUGGAGAGAAAGUGCGUCUUAGCGAUAGCUCGCGCUGUAAAGCUGUACGGUCUUCACUACUUCAUUGACGAGCGUAAAGCCAUUGGCUUCAAGUAGCAGUAGGGUGAAAAUUGCAAGGAAAAUACUGAGAAACACGCUAGUCGGGUUAAAUUUUAGAAUUCUCGACAUUGAAUUUUCAUACGGACUUAUGCUCCAAAUGCUUACUGAGUUGUAUAUGAGAGAAGUUCCUAAAUGUUGGCAAAUAAAGACAAAAUGAUAAAUAGCUUCACUGUUUUUCUCUUUGCUUGGAAUAACGGCCCCAAUGCAACGCGUCGUUGUCACAUUAAUAUCAUGUAGAAUACAUUUUUGGAUGACAAGAGUAGUGCAGAAUGUUAUAAAAAAUAUGCCAAAUUUCAACUUUGAAAAUUGAGUAUUGAUGAUACGGGGCCCGUAGAAUGUGUCAUAUGCCUUUUUCUAGAAUCUUUAUAUUUAACUUCAUGCAGAAUAGCCCGAUCUUUUUCAAAUUUUGUCCACUGAUACACAACUAGUUGAUCCACUUACAGUAAAAAUUUGAGAAUACUUUAUAAUUUUUUAGAAAAGUUACAGCUAUUUGAAUAUUUUUUGAGAAGGGAAAAUUUUACCUGUCCCGAUCAUUUUGUCUAUCCCCUGUACCGUGAGGUCGCCAUUCACCACUCAUUUUGGGUCAAUCAUACAAAAAUGGUCAAAUGUGGUAAAGUGUCGUAACAAAAGAGAAUGUAAUAUGCUGCCACAUUUGAAAACUUUCAUUUCACCAUGUUUUUAUAUGGGUGUACCUGAAAUCACGUUCUCAAAAAAUAUUUCUCUCACUGCGCUGCAGGACAACAUGGGAACUGUUCAGGGCAAACAGCGGAAAAAAUAUCCAACAGGUAAAACCCGUUAAAGAUUUCAUUUUGACAAAACAUGAUGAACUGGGCCCUGUAGCAUAAUCGGGCUAAUAAUAUUAGCUACAAGUUACAAGUACUAAUAUUACAAGUGCUAAUAAUUUGUGUUGCAUAAAGGCUCGAUUUUCCACUAAUAUUAUUAGCGCUUGUAAUAUUAGUGACCAUGAAAAUACAAGUUGUUUUGGUUUAUUUACCUGUCAAAAUUCAUCCGACAGUUCACUAUUAAUUUGAAAUGGCAAUUGUUGUUUAUUUAUUUCCUGCAUUUUUUUCGAAAAGCAUCCGGAAAAAAAAUGAAAAAAAGUUAACAGAAUGUUCGUUAAAAAUAAUUUCGUAGAUUCGGAAGUUUUGCAAUCUCUAUACUGCCUAUUAUCGCAUAUCAAUCCCAUAUUUGCUGGGUUUCUUAUUCAUAUGGGACAGUUAUGCGAUCAUAGGCAGUAUACGAUACAUGAAGAAAAGCAUGUGCUAUUUGGAUCAUUUUCGGCCGCUCUAACGAAAUAUUUUUUUUAUUAAGUAUGGUAUUUCAAUAACCAAAAUAAAGUAACACAUUUUUUAUUUAAUUUUACUAUUAUAGAUAUUAGGGGGAUUAGGGGCAUAAUGGACACCCGGGGCGAAAUGGACACCCCUGUUUUUGCCGAAACCGUUGACUUUUAUGUAAAACUUUCAAUGCAUAAGUGUAAAGGAACAAGUCAUUGUUCUAUUUUUCAAAAGUACUAUUUAUAUUCCUUCGAAAUAACCAAAAUAUCAUUGAAAUUGAAGUAUGAUUUUCAUAUGGUGGAUUUCUUAUAAUUUCGAAGCAGCAGCAAAUAAGGUAUUACGAGUGAUUGAGUGUGCCCACUAGUAUGGGACAAACAUGAAAUUCUCGCUCCAGUCGACUUUUUUGAUUCCAUUUAGGUCCCAUAUGAACUGUACAAAAUUUCAGCGCAAUCGGUGAAACUAUAAUUUAGCGCAAGCGGUUCAAAGUUUUCAUAGGAUUUACUAUGGGGAAAGUUACACUUUCAGAUAAAAAAUCCCAGAGGUCGUCCCUUGUCCCCUUAAUUCAAAUCGAUCAAUGCUUCUUGUAGAAAAAUCAUUUAUGAAACUUUCCUUCGAAGACCGCCAAACGAUUGGAUGCUUGUGGAAAAAGUUAUUGAUUUAUUACCGAUUAGUGAUCGAACGAACGGCUUUUUGUUUUAUUUUAUUAGCAGCACUGUAGCUGCUGCCUUGGCUGCUGCUGUUUCUGGGGGUGGUGAUGCCUCCCGCCACCCCAUGCAACAACGGCAGCAGCAGUGCUGCUGAUAAAACAAAACAAAAAGCCCUUCGCUGGAUCACUAAUAGGUAAUAAAUCAAUAACUUUUUCCACAAGCAUUCAAUCGUUUUGCGGUCUUCGAAGGAAAGUUUCGUAAAUGUUAUUUCUACGAGAAGCAUUGAUCGAUUUGAAUUAAGGAGACAAAGGGCGACCUCCGGGAUUUUUUGUUUGAAAGUGUAACUUUUCCCAUAGUAAAUCCUAUGCAAACUUUGAACCGCUUGCGCUAAAUUAUAGUUUCACCGAUUGCGCUGAAAUUUUGUACAGUUCAUAUGGGGCCUAAAUGUGAUCUAAAAAGUCGACUGGAGCGAGGAUUUAUUUUUUUCAUACAAGCGUGUCCCACACUAGUGCCCACUACAAAACAAGUGAAUUGUUAGCUUAUCUACAUGUAUACGUAGAUUUAGCAAUGGAUAAAGUAUUAUAUUUUUGAUCAGAACUUACUGAAAAUAGCAAUGUUAGUGUUGUAGUCUAUUCGGGGCAAAAUGAACACUGGCAAUUAUAAAUGGAUGUACGCGCGUUGCAUACUGUUAGGCGUUUUAGAGAGUUUGAAAAAAUCAAUCUGAUUAUUUUAGCCCAAAAUUUAUUCAAUUAACUUUGAAGUUAUGUAAACUCGUCCAAGAUAGAGUAUUAUAUCUGUGGUAUUGAUCUCCGUUGGCAAGUUACUUAACUGAUCGAUAUUCUCAAAGAUACAGCUUAAAAUAUGCAGGGGUGUCCAUUAUGCCCCGAUGGGUGUCCAUUUCACCCCGUACCUUUCCUGCCAGCCCCAAAAAACACACGGUUUUCAAUUCAUUAUUUCUUCACAAUAAUGACAUUCUAUCAGCUGUAAAUGAUUGAAAUACGUAGAAAACAAGUUAAAGUUGUAAGCCAACUGAUAAUAUGUUAAGUAUUUGUCUGUUAUACAGGCCUAACAUACGCAUUUGCUUAGGGUGUCCAUUAUGCCCCUAAUCCCCCUACAAGUUGUUUUAUUAUGGCAUUUUCAUAGACAAAUAAACGACUAAAGCGUCAAAAACAAUAAACAUAUAAAUGACAAAUAUACAUACACAAAACAUGGAACAGCACUAGUGAAUAUGCUGAACAAAGUAUCGAGAUUUUUAAUAAAAUGUCCCAAAGAUUCCAUUGAAAAACAAUGGAUAAAGAUUUA
Aedes albopictus (Asian tiger mosquito) is the source of this 4111-nucleotide long non-coding RNA. RefSeq lists it as uncharacterized. The record is from RefSeq and is a predicted model, not a curated record. The transcript is spliced from 2 exons. Lineage: Eukaryota; Metazoa; Arthropoda; Insecta; Diptera; Culicidae.